CUCGCUCUGAUACCAACUGUUAGGUCCGUAUAUAGGGAUAAUUAAGCUAGAAGGGGGGGGGGUUGAACAAAAAAUUUAAAGAAAAAAAAACUAAAUAAUAUAGGCCUGACAAGUUCUAGACUGAGGCCCACAGCAUAUAGUGUUAGGUCCGUAUAUAGGGAUAAUUAAGCUAGAAGGGGGGGGUUGAAUAGCUUAAUCACCAGUUUAAAAACUUUAUGGCGUUUUAAAAAGUUUAUCCCCUUUUUAAAAGCUUGUAUCUAGAGUAAUGGCAGUUGUAAAUGCGGAAGCUAAAAGCAAGGAAAGAAAAAUACCACACGAGGGAUUUUAUCCUGGUUCGCGGUGGCUAACUCAACCGAUGGAGUCCACUCACCCCUAGUCCAGUCCCCGAGCUCCUCCCCGGACUCGAGAUUUUCUCUACUAAAAAGAUACUCCUUUAAAGUAGGCGGAGAAGCCUUUACAAAUAUAUAUCUUGGAGCGUAACUUCCCGUUACCUCCUCACUAUAAAUGUAAAAACACCUACAAAGCUUGUCUCGGAACGUAACUCCCCGUUACUUCCUCAAAGUCGAUGUAGAACCUUGUGUAGUCUUUGUACUUCUACACCUUUUGCCGGUCUUGGGUCUUAGGUAUUAGAUCUCGGGUCUUUCCUCUUCUUCACGGUGCAAUGACUAUUAACUCCCCGUCAAUACGUCAAGGACUUGGGUCUUAGAACGAAGAUCACCUCACUUCACUUCACCUCACUGCAAAAGUUAGAACACAAUAUCUACGAAAAUAUAUCCUUGUUUUAAUAAGAUUUUAGUCCGCUAAGUAAGUCCAAUAAUCACGGUCAGGUAUAAGGUUUGUCAAUUAUAACAAGUCCAACGGUGAUUAGUCCAACAAGUGUCCAACAACAGUCCAACAAUUUAUAUUGCGCGGAAAAUAUAAAUAGUUGAUUUUAAGUCGGAUUGAUUUUAAUAACCUGAGCAAACCGCGUACGGGCAAGCUACGAGAGUUAUAUUAAUUAGUGUGGAGUGAUUUAUAAAUAUAAUACGCAGUCGAUAAUCACACUCACACACACGGGAUCGGGAACCGCUAAACUCGUAAGGUUAGUAUUUCCACGAAGCACAGCACAUAUGGAAACGUUCACCAAACGAGAAAGGGUAUGUUGGGCGUAGGGAUAUAAUCAGUUAAGCACAGAUAACACGCACAACAAUAACUAACUUAUUACCUUUGGCCUUAUAUCCGGCUUUCCGUGCCAAGGCAAAGAUCCCUCCAAAGUUUGGUGAGGAAAUCUCAAAGGAUACGAGUUAGGUUCCGGGACAAAACACACGCACAAAUAUAUAACGAGUGGCUAACUCGUGCGUUUUGUAAAGAGAGCUUUAAAGAUGAAAAGGAUAUNNNNNNNNNNNNNNNNNNNNNNNNNNNNNNNNNNNNNNNNNNNNNNNNNNNNNNNNNNNNNNNNNNNNNNNNNNNNNNNNNNNNNNNNNNNNNNNNNNNNNNNNNNNNNNNNNNNNNNNNNNNNNNNNNNNNNNNNNNNNNNNNNNNNNNNNNNNNNNNNNNNNNNNNNNNNNNNNNNNNNNNNNNNNNNNNNNNNNNNNNNNNNNNNNNNNNNNNNNNNNNNNNNNNNNNNNNNNNNNNNNNNNNNNNNNNNNNNNNNNNNNNNNNNNNNNNNNNNNNNNNNNNNNNNNNNNNNNNNNNNNNNNNNNNNNNNNNNNNNNNNNNNNNNNNNNNNNNNNNNNNNNNNNNNNNNCAGACAGCUAGAAAACGCAGAAAAACGAAAGUUCUCGAAAAAUUCCGAAACUUUUACCAUGCAUUAAGAAUAAUAUAUAACUGGCUAAUCUCAAGUUUCAAGUCAAUUUGGCAAGUGGAAGUAUUUUAUUUGGAUUUAAAACGAUUAAAUCAGCCUUUCGGGUUUCGAAUAAAAUACGACAAUUCUUUUGAAAUAUCCGAAGAGGAAUUUAGGCCAAACUUAAAACUUGAAUAAAUACUUAAAAUAUAUUCCCAUAAAGAUAAAAUACUUUGGUGGGUUGAGAACUAUUUUAAAGUAUUUAAGCCGAUUUUUCUAAGAUUUAAACUGGUUUAUGAAAAACCGAAACAAUUCGUCUUUUAAAUUCUCGAGAAGACCUUUUGACGAAUAUUUUGAUACCAAAAUACUUAGAAAUAAAGUGUUCAUUAUAAAUCAUGAUUUUGAUACAUUGAAAAGCCUUUCUAAGUAUUGUGAAUAUUUUUCUCCGAAAAAUAAAGAAUUUGAGAGACCGGGAGAAAAUAUUCCAAAGGUAUAUUUAAAAAUGAUAUUAAUAUGAAGAAGAUAAAUCCUUUAAUUAGAAAAAUUAAAUCAUUGAAGAUCAAAGGAUUUAUGAUUUUAAAAGAUUUAAAAUAAUUUAUUCCGAGAGAUAAUAAAACAUUUAAAUAUGGAAUAAAUUACUUUAAAUGAAAUAUUUUUGUUUUAGUGUCACAUGAGUGGUCUAAAGAAUAUCACACAAGGAUAAUCCUUUUUCGAGCUUCAUGUAUUUUGAUGUUGCAAUAGGAAGAUGAAGGACAUCAUAUCUUACGAUUCCUCAACAUGCAUAUUGCGAAACAAAAAUAUUCCUUUAGAAAUAAAUGUAUUUUUAGUACGAAGGAAUAAACAAGUAUUUAAAAAGACUUGCCAAAAAUAACUCUUAACUUUUGAUUAAUCAAUUAAAUCAAUGACCUAUUGGGAGGAUUACUAAGUGAAUUUAAAUUUAAUGUUUAUCACAAAUACCAAAACAAAUAUAAAUAAAUUUAUAUCGAAGAUAUCCUUUCAAUCUUCCCCUUUUUGGUACUUGUCAAAUAAACAUAAAAUUUAAAUUUUAAAAGUGUGUGCUUCCCCUACGUGUAUGCAUGAAUAAAAACGCCUAGGGCUGAAUAAAAACAUUUUUAUCUACACAAAUAGGAGCAAGUAAUCCUUCAAAGUUUUUAGGACAAUUCCUGCAAAAACAUUGAUUAGUACCACAUUAAAAUAGAUCGUUAUUUUUGGAAGUAUCAAAAUUUUAAAUUUUGAACGUUCAACAUUUCUUCUUUUCCUUUAAAAUGUUGACGUUUCUCUUCCCCUUUUAUUUGAUAAAGGUACCAAAAACAUAUCUUCUUCCCUUAAAAAUCCAUCCCUUUGAAAUAAAUAAUUCCAAAUAUAAAAGUAAACAGAUAAUUGAACUUCUGUUUAAUUCCAUUCAUUCAUGUACUUGAAGUCAGAUGGGCUGACUUUGGAAAUAAUAUAUGCUGGAAUAAUUCAGGGAAAUUUCUCUUUUUCCUUUGAUUCAAAGAUAUGGACUUCACUCGAUGUGUGUUCGAGUUCUUUUUCCUUUCUUUUUCAGUUAUCUUUUACUCGAAUCAAUUAAAGAAAAUAUAUUAUAUUCGAAUUUUUAAUGUAUUCGAAUUUCAAUUCCUUUAUUCGAAUUAUAACUUGUAUUCGAAUUUCUCUUCCCAUUUUGAUUUCGAAUUUCCCUUUUCUUUUGGAAAUCAAUUUAUUUUCGAGUAAUAUUUAAUAUUAAGAUUGAGAGAAUUUUCUUUUCGAAUCUUUAUUUUUAUUUUCUCUAUCAAUCGAAAUAAAUCCAUCCGUUAUAUUCCCACAUGCAUAAAGUAAAUGUGUGUGCAUGUGUGAAGUAUAAAUAACGAGACAAACAAAAUAUAUAAAGCAGGAUUUUUAAUAUAUAGUACCAAAAUUAAUUCUUCUAGAUCAGUGUGGUUCACUGAUUUAAGAAGAAUAAAUAACCUGCAUGGGUUAUAGAUACAAGUGCUCCACGAGCUGAUAAUAUCCUGAUACAGAAACAAAAGCAGACAAACAGAACUUUUCUUGAACCGACAGUACCAAGAGCUAGUCAACGAACAUCCAGUCACCCAACAGUCACGUGCAUAUUACUUUAGGGAACAUCAGUAACCACUCCAAGCUCAGAGGAGAAUUCAUUUAUCUCAGGCAGGGACCCAGUAUCAUCUACAACAGCAGAGGCAAUUAACUCUUUUUCCUUAAUCAUUUUAUUAAUCUCAGAGUUAACUUCCUCAUAAGUAAUUUCUUGUGCUACUCUUUUUCCCUUAGCCUUAUCUAGCUCAGUAGUUACCUCCAAAUAUUUAGUCUUUAAAUCCUUAAUCUUAUCAUUUGAAUCUUUUAGCAUUAUUUUAAGGAUUUCAUUUUCCCUCAUGUAAUCAUGCGUGAUUUCUUCCUUAGCUCUACCUACAGGAAUACUCCUAUACGGUUUAAUUUCCUCAAGUGGGACCUUAGGAACUACUAUCUUUUCAACAUUACAGUAGUCAAUCCUAUUAGCAUGGCCCCUAGGCAUAGGAAUACUAUACAGCUCAAAAACCGUAGUUAACAGCAACCCGUAAGGCAUAAAAGCCAAUUGAUAAGCCAGAAACAUAUGCAAGAUAAGCACAUAGAUAAUGUUGAACUCAACUUUGUUAAUAACUAACUGAUACAUCACUUUUAAAUCAGCAAAGUCGAAAUAUUGAUCAUUAUCCGGUUUCGGCAGAAUAUUAGCCCUAAUAAUCAUAGCAAGUUGUUGAUAUUCGGGCAGAAAAUGCUUAAAAGGUAUCCCACAAUCAGCAACACUUAAUCCAGUUGGCACAAGCUCCCCACAGAAAAAGCUAAUAAAUUUUUCAAAUUCAGUUUGAUUGAAUUUAAAUAAUUCAUAGAUAUUUGAGCAUGUUUGGGGGAAUAGUUCGGGACUAAGUUGUAAAGCUCUACACAUAACAUGAAAGUUCACGUGUAUUUCCUGAUUAUUAACCACUGAACUUAUAUCAAAUAUCCCAUUAUCAUCCUUUUUAGUUACCAUAUUAGCAUAAAAUUCACCCAUUAAAUGUGGAUGGUAACUCUGUCCCCGAUAAAAAACAAUAUUACCCCACUUACUAUUCAUCAGUAUGUUGAAGGCAGGACACUGCUUAGGCACGUAAGCCAUCAUCCCGGGCUGGACAGCCUUCAUCAUUUUUCCUAAUUUCCCAACGUUAGACAGAUUCACCAACCGCGGCACCGUCUGACUCAGAUUAUUUUUCCUCCUCUGAUAGGUUAAGGUAGGGGCAGGAGGAUUGGGGUAGUUGUGUUUGUGAGGUUUUUGGUUGGGGUAGUAGGGAAAUGCAGGGGCUGGUGGAGUCCCGGUAUUAUAUCCCGUGGGAUAAAAGUUGGGGAAAGGAUGAUUGUGUAGUGGAUUUGGGUUAGUGAUGGGGUGGUAGGGUUUGGCAUUUGGGUUAAGGUGGUGAUUGGUUUUGUGUCUUUUAGGGUGUGAGGAUUGGCUUUGGUGGUAGUUUCGGUUGUGAUUAAGGGAAUGAGGUUGAGGUUCAAGUAGAUCAGGGUGGUAAACGGGAUCACGGUUAGGGUUAGGGUUGGAGAGUUGUUUAAACUCCAUGGUUUAAACGGUAGGGGAAAGUUGGGUAUUUAGGUGUAAAGGUGUAAAGUGAAAGUGAUGGGGGCAGUUGCCUUAAAUAGGCAAUUACUAAGGCCUGUUUGGGUAAGGGAAUAAGAGAAUAAGUGGAAAGUGACACUGCCGAGUGUCUGUAUAUGUGUUUGAGUUUUAAAAAAUAUGUUCCUAUGUGGGUGGGGUCUGUCCAAAAAGGUAUGCAUUAACUCUUCUUAAAUGCAUUACAGGUUAAGGACAAGGUGAGGUAAGCAGAGGAGAUGCAAAGGACAUCUCUGGGUUGUCACAGAGGAGAAACUUCUCAAGUCAAAGACGCCAGUUUCAGAUUUUAACCAUUUUUAGUAUUAAAAAACUUCUGAUUAAGUUUUCGAAAAUCAGUUGGACUGACUGAUGUGAUAAGCAUCAAGACUUUUUGACAAAAACCAUUUAGCACAUAAGAGGUCGAGGCACAUAAGUUUCAAUUUUAGAGAUUUAAAACUUGUUCAUCCAAUAUUUUUGUAAAUGCAGUUCACUCAGAUCGCUUGGGAAAUCUCCCAAGUCUAUUGUGGCCAUCUUACUCCCCAGUGCUCCAGAUACUGGGAGUCUCAGGGACCCCAAGCCAAGUCUUAGGGAGUUAGGCAUGUGUGUGUUAGUGUAUUCAUUUUAACAAGCAUUGAUUGUUAUUAAGCCAGAAUACAAAAACAAUUUUAACACAUUCAAUUUGUCACAAAAUACCAAUAAAAUCAAUUUGAAUCCAUUUAAUGUAAGUCAGAGUUUUUAUACAGCUUAAGGACAUGAUUUUCAAACAUCUCAGACUGACAUGGCAACUAGCAAAAUCAGGCAACAGAUUAAGCAAGAAUCAAAGAUAUACAUUUUCAUAUGGAAGUCUCAAGUCGGUUUUUGAGAAAAUUUCGAUUUCUUAAAAAGUCGAAAAAAACUUAAUGAUUUUACGAUCGAAAUAUAUGAAAAACAUUUUGUCCGAUUAAUCAACAUUCAUAACAGGAUUGUCUUGAGCAAUUUCAAUUUUAAGGAAAAUCGUUUUUAUUCGAUUAUUAUGAAAACACACAAAUUUUUUUUUUUUGCACAAAAUCCAGCAAAGCAAUAUGGCACAGUCACAAAUAUCAUCAAACAGUCAUGGCACUAUCCAUUAUAUGGCAUGUUAUUCAAUUAGCAUAUUUAUGUGCCAUCCAUGCAUUUAAUCGAAUAAAAUCCAUCCGUUCCCAUAAAUCAUUUCCUGCAAAAAUACUCGACGACUAAGUUAGAAGACUUAUCUCUGUUAAAGGCAUAAAUCAGGCAAUUACACAUAGAAACAGAGAUGCAGAUGACAAAAAAAUUCAGCAAGCUUAAUUUCACAAAUAAUCAGUCAAGCGUAAUUUCAUCAGGACAAGACAUAUUUACCCAUUUUUAGAGCUUAACUCAGAUAAUCAAUUUAACGUAGCAUGUCACAAAAUCAUUCUGCUAGAACUUUAUAUAACUAAUGUAACAUUAUGUCAAGUGAACCUAAGCCACAUUCAGCAGCUCAAAUAGCAUACGAUUCUAAACAAGACUUCACAAAUCUUAAGACAUAACUCGAUUAACAGAUCCAGUAUCAUUAUCCGAAAUCAUUUUUCUAGCAACACAAGACAUUUCAGGUGGACAAACCAACGAAAUUGGGUUAUUAAGCAGGCAAAUCAUAUAUAUUUCCAUAUUUCAGCAUACAACAUAACAGACUCAACUAAAUCCAAAUACAGUUUAUAUCCAAAAUUCACAACAAACCAACUCAUGGAUAUUAUCUCAUUUAACAGAGUGGAACACUCAAAUUUCAGCAAAUUUUAAUCAUAAAUCGCAUAUAUCACAUGAGUCAGAUGAAAGAUAAUAGCAUGCACUUGAGUUAACAUAUCUUAAGGGAGACUUACCUGAGCCAAGGUUGUGAUCCUCUUGGACUUACCAAACUGGCAUAAUAAGUAAGAUGGAGAGGUAGAAUUCUUUUAGCGAGCUACAAACGUCAUCUGGCUCUAAGUCGCUCCAGAUCAUUUCGCCGAGUCAAGAGAUUUUCACAGCCAUCAAUCUCAACUCAAGGUCGAGUUAGGGUUCGAAACCCCGAACUCUCGAAGCGCUUGAAUCGCCCUUGAGUCGACUGAUUUGGUCGAAAUAGUACUCAAUUUAACUAGGGUGCUUAACAUAACUCGUCGAACCCUCGAGAUCGAGUUAGGGUUUGUAAACCCUAACUCUCAGAUGUGUUUGAAUUACAUCUCGAGAGUGAGAACAGAGUCGAAUUAAGCCCCAAUACACAUCCAAGCUUCCAAAUAGGAGCAUCGACAACGAGGGUUUAAAAACCCCAAUUUAAACAUCUGCAAAACCUCAAAAUAAUUAAUCGAUAUAAGCUCCAUGGACUCCGAUCUUUCCAUUCCUGCACAAAAGAACUUGAAAUCGUGUUAGUAUUUAUUCAAAAUCAAAACCCUAGAAAUAGGGUUUCAUCAAAACACACGAAAUCAAGACAACCGGUGUGGAUUUAUCCACUAAUGUGCGAUUCAGACCUUUACCCAUCAUCAAUUAAGACGAUGAUGAGUUUCAGUGGUCGAGAAUCAAAUCUUUCUUACCCAAGCCCUUCGAGAGUCUUACAAAACUAAGUAUAAGACCCAAGAUGUGUGUAGAAUCAAGAAGUGUUUGAGAAAUAGAAGAAAAUCGCCAUGAGUUUCUAGUCGGAGGCUCGCGAUUUCUCUAGAGAACACUCGAGAAUACGAGAGCAGCCGAGAGAAAACGAAGAAAAGGCGUGAGAGAAAAUGACUACAGUGAUGUGUACUGUAUAAUAUAUAUAUAAACCUAUGUGAAUGGCUGAGAUGAUUUAGGGUUAUAGACAAUGGCUAGGAUUGAAAGUUUUGAUCGGGCCGGGUUCAAUCAGUUUCAAGUUGGGUUUUGAUUUAUACGAGCUGGGCUUGGUACAAGACUGAAAAGAAACAAAUUUAUUCGGACCAAUUCAAACAGAAUUUGGGUUUUGAAAUAAAUUUUGGCUGCAAUUUGAAUAUAUAAAACUGGAUAAAUUUUUGAUUUAAAAACAAUGAAGCCCGAAAUACAAUUAUUUUGUCCGAAUAAAAUAUCAAUAAAUAAUAAAUUAUCCUCUUAUUGUAACAAAUUAUCCAAUUUUGAAAAGUAAUAUCUUUUUAAGAAUAUACUGGAUAAAAUAUUAUAAAGAGCGAUAAUCUAUAGAUAUUAAUCCUAAAUAUCUAAAAACAGAAAUUACAGGAAUAAAUAAUAUCUUGCAUUACAGUACAAAUUUAUCCAAUUUUCGAAAGAUAAUAUAUUUAAAAUAUUGUUGGAUAAACUUGCUAGCAAAAUAAUAUUAAUUCUCCUUCCAAAUAUUUCCAUAUAAAAAUAUUCAUCCACUUGAAAUAAAUAAUUGAAUAUUCGGAUAAAUAUAUUCAUUAAAUAUGGUAUGAUUAAGAAGUAAAUAUUUUGGCAAAAGAUAAUUCUUUUAUACAUAGAACAAAUGCCAUAUAAUUAGUAUCUUAAAAACAUUUUUGAUAAAUCAAAAAUAUUCGCUCGCCUAAGAAUUAUCAUCAAUACUUAAAAUUCUCUAGUGAUAGCUCAUGAAUAUCCGAUCAAUAAAUUUCUUUAUUGACAAAUCUGAAUUUUCAGAGUGCACACAAGAAAAUUAAUUGACAAUAUUUCUUACACGUAAGAUGACUAAAAACAUGAUAAAUAUUCUACCAAGAAUAUUUAAUGAAUAAUAGGCCAAAAUAUUACUUAUUGUGUUCCAGCAUUCCUAAAUCCAAUCGGAGUUUAGCGAAUCUUUCGGAACCUAAAGGCUUUGUGAAAAUGUCUGCGAUAUUAUACUCAGUUUCAAUAUGAGUCAUUUUUAUGUCGCCUUUAUUGACAUGAUCACGCAAAAAGUGAUGUCUUAUAUCUAUAUGCUUAGAUCUUGAAUGUAACACGGGAUUUUUACUUAAAUCAAUUGCACUCGUGUUAUCGCAUAAAAUAGAUAUAACAUCAAAUUUAACAUUGUAAUCCGCUAAUGUUUGCUUCAUCCAUAAUAUUUGUGCACAACAUUUUGCGGCGGCAAUAUAUUCAGCUUCAGUGGUAGAAAUGGAUACGGAAUUUUGUUUCUUUGAAAACCACGAAACUAAACAUCCACCAAGAAAUUGACACGUACCACUAGUACUUUUUCUAUCAACCAAGUGUCCGGCAUAAUCCGAAUCAGAAAAACAUACUAGAUCAAAAGGUACUCCUUUUGGAUACCAAAGGCCUAGAUCAACAGUGCCUUUUAAGUAUCGUAAAAUUCUUUUAACAGCAGAUAAAUGAGAUUCCUUUGGUGCAACUUGAAAUCUAGCACACUUACAAACACUAUAUUGAAUAUCGGGUCUACUUGCAGUAAUAUACAAUAAACUUCCAAUCAUUCCCCGAUAUUUCUUAGUGUCGACAGGAAUCCCUUUAGGAUCUUCCGUUAAUUUAUCGGAAGUAGACAUAGGAGAUGAUAUGGGUCUAGCAUUUUCCAUUUCAAAUUUCUUGAGCAUUUCUUUGCAAUAUUUAGAUUGAGAAAUAUGAAUGCCCUCAUCGGAUUGCCUAAUUUGCAAACCCAAAAAGAAAUUUAAUUCACCCAUCAUACUCAUCUCGAAUUCUUUACUCAUAUUUUCAGAGAAUUCCUUACAUAGAUCAUUAUUUGUUGAUCCAAAAAUAAUGUCAUCUACGUAAAUUUGGACAAGUAGUAUAUCAUCUUUUUCUUGUCGCGUAAAUAGAGUUUUGUCGGCCGUUCCCAUCUUAAAAUUAUUCUCUAAUAGGAACUUACUUAGCCUUAGGGCUGUAAAAUGAUCCGGGUGAUCCCGGGUACCCCUCUGCUCAAGUACCGGAUCAUAUUAUUUUUAGCUUGUCCAGAUUUGGGUCCGGGAUCGUUUUAUUCGGAUCUAAACCGAUCCCGGGUAUUUGAAAUUCGGAUCUGAACCGGAUAUGAUCCAGUAUCGUAUUUUCUAUUUUUUAACCGGGUAGUUUAUGAUCCAUCGAAUAUGAGCCGGAUAUGAUCCACUAACACUAAGUAUCAUUAUUAUUUCAUUUGUUCAAAUAACUAUCAUUAGUCUAAGUAAACAUAAUAUUAUAAAGUAUAAUAAUUUUAAAUUAAAACUUAUAGUUAUAUAUUGAUAUAUAUCAUUUAUUAAAUAUAUAUGAAGAUAAUAAGUAUGAUCACAUUAAAUAAAUCAUAUUUUAUGAAGAUAUAAACUUAAAUAAGAUAUUAAAAUUUUAUAAAAUGAUAACUAUUUACUUGCAAAUAUGAUGGUGUUAAAAUAUAAUAUGUAUAUGAGUUUGAAUCGAAUAUGAACCGCGGAUCAUAUUCGGUUAUUCGGGUAGGAUCAUAUUAUGAAAAGUUAUAUGAGCCCGAAUCUGAGCGGGUAUAGGUGUGCUCGUAUCCGGGAUCAUAUAUUAUACGGGCUUAAUUUUUCCGCCAGAUUUGGAUCGUUUUCAAAACGAAUAUGAGACAUGUAUCAUAUUUUCGAGCCGGAUAUGAGCCGAGACACCGGAUAGUCCGUAUCGAUUUACAACCCUAGUAAAAUGUUAAAUUCGGAAACAAAUCGACAGUUUAAUCUGGAUUAACUGCAUCUUCAAAACCGGGAGGUUGCUUAACAUAAACUUCUUCUUCCAAUAUCCCGUUUAAGAAUGCAGAUUUCACAUCCAUUUGAUAUACUUUGAAAUCUUUAUGACACGCGAAAGCUAGAAACAUACGAAUAGACUCAAUUCUAGCUACCGGUGCAUAAGUUUCAUCAAAAUCAAUUCCUUCCAUUUGAGUAUAUCCUUGAGCAACUAACCUUGCUUUAUUACGAACAACCGUUCCAUUCUCAUCUAAUUUAUUUCUAAAUACCCAUUUAGUUCCAAUAAUGGAAGUAUUUUCGGGUAGUGGAACGAGUUCCCAUACUUUGCUACGAGAGAAUUGUGUUAAUUCAUCUUGCAUUGCGGAUAUCCAAUCCUCGUCAAGCAAAGCCUCUUUAGCAGUUUUAGGCUCAAUUUGCGAAAGAAAACUAAGAUGAUUUACAACAUUUUGAACUUGUGACCGAGUUUGAACUCCUUUAGUCAAAUCCCCUAAAACAUUAAUCCAAAGGAUGACUUCUAAUAACCGGGAUUUCUUUAGGAAGUUCUUCAUCGGUUUGUAACAAUUCUAAUGGAUUAUUAGGAGGGGAAAUUCCUAUAUCCAUAUUUUCAAAUUGACGGAUAACAUCUUCGACACCAUCUUGUUCGGCAUCUUCUUUAUCCACAAGAUCAAUAUACUUCGAGGGUGGUUUUGAUUCAUCAAAAGCAACAUUCAUAGAUUCUUCCACCACAAGAGUUUUAAGAUUAAAUACACGAUAUGCUUUACUAUUGGUAGAGUAACUAAGAAAUAUACCUUCAUUUGAUUUAGGAUCAAACUUUGUAAGGUAUUCUUUAGAAUUUAAAAUAAAGCAUUUGCUCCCGAAAACUCAAAAAUAACUAACUUUAGGAGUUUUACCAUAUUACAAUUCAUAGGGAGUCUUUUGAGUCAUAGGACGUAAUAAUACUCGAUUUAAGAUAUGACAAGCGGUAGACAUAGCUUCGGCCCAAAAAUAUUUAGGACGACGAUAUUCAUUAAGCAUAGUACUUGCCAUUUCUUGUAAAGUCCUAUUUUUCCUUUCUACAACUCCAUUAGAUUGAGGAGUAUAAGGUGCAGAAAAGUUAUGUGUAAUUCCAUUAGACUCACAAAACGUAGUAAAACUAGAAUUCUCAAAUUCCUUACCAUGGUCAGUCCUUAUAUAGACAAUGGUAUUAUUUUGUUGAUUUUGAAUCUUUUUGCAUAAAGAAGAGAAUGAUUCAAAAGCAUCGCUUUUAGCUUUGAGAAAUUUUGUCCACGUAAAUCGUGAAAAAUCAUCAACAAUGACCAAGGUAUAAGAACAACCUCCUAGACUUUGUACCGGAACCGGUCCAAUUAAAUCCAUAUGUAAUAGUUCGAGAGGUCUAGAGGUAGAUACCAUAAACUUAGCUUUGUGAGAUGCUCGAAUUUGCUUUCCUAUUUCACAAGCUUCACAAAUAUGAUCCUUUUUAAAGUUUAACUUUGGUAUACCCCUAACAUGAUCAUUAGUUGAAAUACUUUUAAUUAAUUUCAUGUUCGCAUGUCCUAAUCUACGAUGCCACAACCAUGGAUCAUCAAGAGUAGAAAAUAGACAUACAUUAGAAUGUUUGCUAAUAUCACAAGUAUACACAUUUUUGCUACAAGGACAAGUAAGCAUCAAUUUUCCAUCCUUAUUUAAAAUAGAACAAUGAGUAGGAUAGAAAAUUACCUUAUAUCCAUUAUCACAAAGUUGACUAAUGGAGAGAAGAUUAUACUUAAGUCCCGUAACUAGUUGUACAUUAGCAAUCUUGAAAUGUUCAUUACCAAUAUCUCCAAUACCAAUGAUACUACCCUUGCUACUAUCUCCAAACGUGACACUUCCAGCGGCAACCUUUCUAAUGCUAUUUCAANNNNNNNNNNNNNNNNNNNNNNNNNNNNNNNNNNNNNNNNNNNNNNNNNNNNNNNNNNNNNNNNNNNNNNNNNNNNNNNNNNNNNNNNNNNNNNNNNNNNNNNNNNNNNNNNNNNNNNNNNNNNNNNNNNNNNNNNNNNNNNNNNNNNNNNNNNNNNNNNNNNNNNNNNNNNNNNNNNNNNNNNNNNNNNNNNNNNNNNNNNNNNNNNNNNNNNNNNNNNNNNNNNNNNNNNNNNNNNNNNNNNNNNNNNNNNNNNNCUUUCUUGAUCUAAGGUAUGAGCUAAAAUCUUGGAGUGUUCAUCCUUCAACUUUUGAGUUUCUAACUCAAAUAUCUUGUCUUUUUCUUUCAAGGCAUGAACUAAUUCAAGGUUAUCUUUUUGAGAAACCGAAGUUGAUUUUUCUUGAGUUAAUGACUCAUUUUGGAUUUUCAAAUUCAACAAGUCAAUAUGAAGCUUAGUAUUAUCUCCAUUUAAUUGUAGCUUCUCAUUUUCUAAUUCCUCGGUUUGUAGAACUAAGGAAACAUUUUCAACUUCCAAUCUCAUAAUAAUAUCUUUACUCUUAUUAUGCUCAUUUUUCAAGAUAUCAUUUUGUUCACAAAGAGAUGAGAUUUCUUCCUCAUUUUUAAGAUUUAAAUCCUUAAUCCGAGAUAACUCUUCUUCUUGAGUUUUAUUCAACUUUUCAAUGUUUUCCUUCUCGGACCAUAGUGAGAGAGUACGUUGAUUAGCACUACUACUUAUUUUAUUUAUUUCAACCACCAAAUCAAUCAAAUCACUUUUACUCAAAUCCAAUAAAUGCAAUGAAGAUUCACUAAAGAGAUGUAAGUUAUGUAAAACUUUAGAUCGAGAACUUACCUCAUCAUUUGAAGUGGAGACAUCCGAUGACGAAGAAUCAUCCUCGAGAGCCAUCAAGCACAAGUUGACCACUUCUUCAUUAGUUUCCAAGAUCUCUUCAUCUUCACUUAAAUCCCAACCAUUUUCGGCCACGACAAUCCUUCCUUUAGAAAGUUUAGGACAUUCCCGUUUAAAGUGACCGGGUUGCUUACACUCGAAACACACAUCCUGUGCUUCCUCCGGAUUUUGUUCUUUUGGUUUAGGAGGAGUGUAAGUAUGGUUGUUAUUGGCAUGAUUAUAAGCAUUAGGGCUUUGAUUGACUUUGCCUUUGUUAUAGCCCGUAGUAGGAUAAUUACUCUUAUAAUUAGGAGUAUAGUUUUGAGAGUAAUUAGGCCUUCCAUUAGAGUUAAAAACUCUUUGUUGAUUAUUCGAUUUAAGGAAGCCUUUUCCAUACCUUUGAGCUUUACUUUGAAGUACACGACGAAGUUGUCUCGUUAAGAGAGCGAUCUCGCUUUCAUCGAGAUUUUGGAGUUCUUCAUUCAACUCCUCGUCGUUUUCAUCCUCAUCGAUUAAUAUGGACUUUAAAGCCAUAUUUUUCUUUUUGUCUUCCACUUUAGGAACGACAAUAUCCGGAACAUUAUCUUCUUCGUAAGCACGAAGAUUUCCGAAUAAGUUAUCGAUGUGGUAAUCAUUGAGAUUGUGCAUCUCUUUGAUAGUUGUAACUUUAACUUUCCAACUCGGAGGUAAAGAUUUAAGAACCCUACGAUUCUUCUCAUUUCGAGUAUAGUUCUUUCCGAGUUGAGCUAAUUCAUCGACUAUACGAGUAAAUCUUGUUUCCAUAUCGAUGAUAUUUUCUCCAUCUUGGAGUUUGAAGUUCUCGUAUUCUUGGAUCAAAGUAUCCAUUCGAGAAUCUUUUAUGUCGGUAGUUCCUUCAUAGGUUACUACUAACUUGUUCCACAUUUCUUGUGCGGACUUGCAAUUGUUUACUCGUUUAUAUUCUUUUUCUGCAAGUGCACUUGUGAGAACCAUUUCCGCUUUAGCGGCGAUAUUCAUUCUAUCUUCCUCAUCGUGAGUAUAUUCACUUACUUUCUUUUCGAUAGUAAUAUCGUCGACUAUUUUAGUCGGAAUAAUUGUACCAUCUUCUAUGGCCAUCCAAACUUUGACACCUUGACUUCUAGCAUAAAUGCGAAAUCUUGUUUUCCAUGUGGCAAAGUUCGUGCCAUCAAAUAAAGGAGGUCUAGAAUUUGAGAGACCUUCACUACAACCGAUGGCAUUGAUAAAAGCCAUAUCGGAUCUACUUUUUGUAGUGCUUAAAAAUCAAAUAGCACAAAUAAAAGCAACUGCUCUGAUACCAACUGUUAGGUCCGUAUAUAGGGAUAAUUAAGCUAGAAGGGGGGGUUGAAUAGCUUAAUCACCAGUUUAAAAACUUUAUGGCGUUUUAAAAAGUUUAUCCCCUUUUUAAAAGCUUGUAUCUAGAGUAAUGGCAGUUGUAAAUGCGGAAGCAAAAAGCAAGGAAAGAAAAAUACCACACGAGGGAUUUUAUCCUGGUUCGCGGUGGCUAACUCAACCGAUGGAGUCCACUCACCCCUAGUCCAGUCCCCGAGCUCCUCCCCGGACUCGAGAUUUUCUCUACUAAAAAGAUACUCCUUUAAAGUAGGCGGAGAAGCCUUUACAAAUAUAUAUCUUGGAGCGUAACUUCCCGUUACCUCCUCACUAUAAAUGUAAAAACACCUACAAAGCUUGUCUCGGAACGUAACUCCCCGUUACUUCCUCAAAGUCGAUGUAGAACCUUGUGUAGUCUUUGUACUUCUACACCUUUUGCCGGUCUCGGGUCUUAGGUAUUAGAUCUCGGGUCUUUCCUCUUCUUCACGGUGCAAUGACUAUUAACUCCCCGUCAAUACGUCAAGGACUUGGGUCUUAGAACGAAGAUCACCUCACUUCACUUCACCUCACUGCAAAAGUUAGAACACAAUAUCUACGAAAAUAUAUCCUUGUUUUAAUAAGAUUUUAGUCCGCUAAGUAAGUCCAAUAAUCACGGUCAGGUAUAAGGUUUGUCAAUUAUAACAAGUCCAACGGUGAUUAGUCCAACAAGUGUCCAACAACAGUCCAACAAUUUAUAUUGCGCGGAAAAUAUAAAUAGUUGAUUUUAAGUCGGAUUGAUUUUAAUAACCUGAGCAAACCGCGUACGGGCAAGCUACGAGAGUUAUAUUAAUUAGUGUGGAGUGAUUUAUAGAUAUAAUACGCAGUCGAUAAUCACACUCACACACACGGGAUCGGGAACCACGUAACUCGUAAGGUUAGUAUUUCCACGAAGCACGGCACAUAUGGAAACGUUCACCAAACGAGAAAGGGUAUGUUGGGCGUAGGGAUAUAAUCAGUUAAGCACAGAUAACACGCACAACAAUAACUAACUUAUUACCUUUGGCCUUAUAUCCGGCUUUCCGUGCCAAGGCAAAGAUCCCUCCAAAGUUUGGUGAGGAAAUCUCAAAGGAUACGAGUUAGGUUCCGGGACAAAACACACGCACAAAUAUAUAACGAGUGGCUAACUCGUGUGUUUUGUAAACAAAGAGAGCUUUAAAGAUGAAGAGAAUAUUUUUGUUCAAAAGCCCUUUGUCAAAAAUGGUCGGUUAAGACACGAGUAAAACGAAGCUAAAAUAACCACUUACAAAAAGUUCGCCGGAAAAAUUCGUCGGAGGUUCGACCGGAUUUUGGCUUUGCACACGAACUUUGGAGAGCCCUUCGGGAGGACAAAAAGAGUGGUAUGAAAAUGAGCUAAGCGAGAUUUGGCUAGGUUGGGUGGUACGAAGCCUCGGGGUUUAAAACCUUGUGUAUAUAACGAAGUAUAUGAAGAAUCGAAGGUUUUAAAGAUGAAGUAAAUAUGGUGGGUGCUUGAAUAAACUUUGGGAGAGUAUUUUCACUUCAAAAUCUCAGCAUAUAUUUGGC
RNAcentral lists this long non-coding RNA (16518 nucleotides) under Daucus carota (carrot). RNAcentral describes it as "long non-coding RNA (DCAR_LNC004016)". Lineage: Eukaryota; Viridiplantae; Streptophyta; Magnoliopsida; Apiales; Apiaceae. The record is from RNAcentral.